Molecule: long non-coding RNA, 402 nt
Filed under: Olea europaea subsp. europaea
Lineage: Eukaryota; Viridiplantae; Streptophyta; Magnoliopsida; Lamiales; Oleaceae
Source: RNAcentral
AUGAAAUUAAAUUUAAAUAUUUGAAAUUGUAAAAAUACUAUUUUUACCUUUCCUUGUAAAACCAAAUUUUAAGAGUUAUUUCUUACAUUGAAUGUCAUCUCCCUUUCAUGUCAAAUCCUCCAUUCUCAAUUCAAAAUAACCCAGGACUCCAUUAGUUCUUCCAUCUUUUUUUCUCUACUAACAAUGAUAAUCUCUCAUUCUUCCUGAUGUCCACACUACACAAUCGGAAUCCCUAAGUUUAGUCUCCAAGCCUGUGUUUGUACUCUUUAGGCUUCAGUAUGUUCAAAAUUUAAUCUUUGGUUUAGAAUUUGUAAUUUUUUUUUAUUUAAAAUUUUGCAGAUUUUUAUGGGGUUGGAAAGUGUAGAUUUUCAUAAUAUAGUUUACAAAUGCAUUGAGUCCAGG